GAUGAACGCUGGCGGCGUGCCUAAUACAUGCAAGUCGAGCGAACAGACGAGGAGCUUGCUCCUCUGACGUUAGCGGCGGACGGGUGAGUAACACGUGGUUAACCUACCUAUAAGACUGGGAUAACUUCGUGAAACCGGGGCUAAUACCGGCUAAUAUAUUGAACCGCAUGGUUCAAUAGUGAAAGACGGUUUUGAUGUCAAUUAUAGAUGGAUCCGCGCCGCAUUAGCUAGUUGGUAAGCUAACGAAUUACCAAGCGAACUAUGGGUAGCCGACCUGAAAGCGUGAUCAGCCACACAACAACUGCAACACGGCCCAGAGUCCUACGGAAGGCAGCAGUAGGCAAUCUGCCGCAAUGGGCAUAAGCAUGACGGAGCAAGCCACCAUGAAUAAUGAAGGUCUCCGAAUCAGAAAGCUCUGUAAUCAGGGAAGAACAAAUCUCUAAGUAACUAUGCACGUCUUGACAGUACCUGAUCAGAAAGCCACGGCUAACUACGUG
Molecule: ribosomal RNA, 497 nt
Filed under: uncultured bacterium
Lineage: Bacteria
Description: partial 16S ribosomal RNA
Rfam family: Bacterial small subunit ribosomal RNA
Source: RNAcentral